UACAGAGGUCUCAAGCGUUGUUCGGAUUCAUUGGACGUAAAGGGUGCGUAGGUGGCGCCGUAAGUCGGGUGUGAAAUUUCGGAGCUUAACUCCGAAACUGCAUUCGAUACUGCGGUGCUUGAGGACUGGAGAGGAGACUGGAAUUCAUGGUGUAGCAGUGAAAUGCGUAGAGAUCAUGAGGAAGACCAGUGGCGAAGGCGGGUCUCUGGACAGUUCCUGACACUGAGGCACGAAGGCCAGGGGAGCAAACGGG
Molecule: ribosomal RNA, 253 nt
Filed under: uncultured bacterium
Lineage: Bacteria
Description: partial 16S ribosomal RNA
Rfam family: Bacterial small subunit ribosomal RNA
Source: RNAcentral